Molecule: long non-coding RNA, 4110 nt
Organism: Cavia porcellus (domestic guinea pig)
Lineage: Eukaryota; Metazoa; Chordata; Mammalia; Rodentia; Caviidae
Exons: 6
Source: RefSeq, a predicted model, not a curated record
GCUAAUUGCCGAGGUCCUCUUCCAGGAUUGGCUGUCCCCUCAUAACCAUAAGAUAAUUAAAACAAGGGGGGGGGGCAGAGUGAAAAAAAAACUUUAAAAAAUCAUCAAGAGGUUAAUGCAAGUGUUUAACAGAUGCUACUCUAUUAAAAUAUUUCCCCCCAAGUCUCAAAUAUUGAAGAAUCUUAAUCAGGGACAUCAGCCCCAAUGGAGACUUCAGAAGAUUUCAAAGUGCGGGCACCUCGAUUCCCCGAAACUUUGGUGUGGCUGGUAUCCGUGUUCCCCUGGUUUAACUAGCCUGUUUGAAGACACAGUUCAUGCUUAGGAAAGUACAACCGAAACUAGUCCUCCCCCUACUCCUGAGGGUCUUCACUUUCCUGAUCUACAUCUGCCUGUGACUUCAGAAAGAAACUUCACGUUGGCCAAGGUCUGUUGGCCUACCUAUAGUACAGGGCUCUACAAAGACCCAAGAUUACCAUGAGUGUCGCCUUGAAGCCUUGGAUUUUCACUCCUGAAGGAAUAAGUUUUGGCUUAGGGCUUGACCAACCUGCAGUUAGAGAUGACAACAGGUGAUGAAAGAGCGACUCCUGCAUCAUUCCCAGUCGUGGGUCUGGUGCUCCUUAACUUGCCAGCAUCCUUGGCAAACAAGUCAUCCGUUUGCCUCUCCCGUGUUGGGUUGGAGAAUUCUCCCCUUUUCUUUGCUUGUAGGCCCAAGCUAAAUGCCCAAGGAAGUCUUUCUAGGCAUCUACCCCUUUCCCUCCCCCAAAGGGUAGAUCUGUUUAUGAACUCCUUUCUGGUGUUCUCACUAGUAUUCCCUUUGUAGUUCUCUGGGCACAAAUCUGUCACCUCCUUCCUCUGUGGAUUCCUUGACAACCCAGUUAACGAACUGCAGCCAAAAAAAUUCCUCAAGCGGUCUUCCGAAAAGAGAUUCAGAGAAAUGGAGUACAGUGCUGCAACCACAAUUGGACUGGCUUCCUUUUCUCUUUAAAGUGAAGAGAGCUGGUAAAGGGGUUGGGAGUGGUUUACCUCCAAGCCUCUGGGAGAACUGGGGAAAGAUUCUGCCAGAUCAAUUGGGCCUGCAGCAGGCCUACUUCAGCCUGGCCCAGAUGAUACCUGUGUCCGGCAUCCUAAGCUCCAGUCCGUGCUGGAUAGGGCUUCCUGGUUUUCUACAAACUGACUGUGUGACCCGAUUCAGCCUCUCUAAACCUUAGUUUCACUGUCAGAACAAUGGGGAUGAUAGCACAAACCUUGGGGUGUAUGGGCUAGAUUAGAGGGAUCAAGGUACCCUCCCGUGAGUCACCUGAUACACAGGCUUCCCUGAAUAUUCAUGCAUUUUCUCUUCCUGCCUUUUCUGUUUUCUCCUUCUGGCCAGUUGCCUGAAGACCCAGCCAGCCUGACAGCGAUGGGUGCCACACUCCCAGGUCGUCUUUAAAUAGAGCUGCGCAAACAAAUUGGCGGCAAAAGCGAAGAUCUUGUCACGACGGAGGCCGAUCCAAUAUUUCAGCCUUGUUUGCUUUGCAAUUACGGCCGGCUUGUGGCUGCGGUGCCACCGGGCAGAAAGUCUCCUAAUUCUGCGGCAGAAAUCAAGCCCGCGUCCAGUGGAGCGGCUCCUGCAGCAGGGACCUGUCCGCCUCCAGCCUCCUUUGAAAGCCUCCUUUGAGUUGUUUCUGGGGCGCUCUAGUGUGUAAGUGAGCCUCUGGGCGCCUCGGUCACCGCCCAGGCGAGCCUAGUUUGUGUCAGCACAACAGUAGUUAACUCCAAUCACGUCCUAAGCCUUGUAUUUCACAGACAAUUAAAUCUUGGCCGCCGUUUAACAAAAUUGUAAUAUUUACUCUGCUCUAUACCGGGGAGCACUUUUAAAGUAAAAAGCAAAUACAUUUCAAAAACAAAAUAUGAUAAUAAAUCUCUUUUUAUGAUUCCUCUCUGCAUAAGUGGAAGCAAGACGAUUUAAAUCUUCAGCAACUUCACCCUCCCCUGGUUUUCAAACACAGCUGAAGUUACAAGAUGCUGUUUUUUAACGUGGUCUCUAUCUGCCUUUUGGGGGGACAUGCCUGCAUUGUUGCAUUCAUUUAAAUUCCAACAUUUCACACCCCACCUGGACCCCUAUAACAUGAAACAAAGAUGAUUAAGUACUAAGGACUUGGAUAUGAAGUGACCUUUUUCCAUGGACUCAAGAAAGAUAAGUGUGACUUGGAUAAUUAUUUUGUGAUUUCAUACUACUUGCUAAAUGAAAACCUAUUUUCCUCUGGUGCAACUUCUGAAGGAGCUGGGCAGAGGAAUAUUUUUAUGAGAAAACUUCUGGGGUAUGUGUUAAAAUUAAGGACGUGUAAGGUCAGACCUACAUUUGUUUGUUCAUAUUCAAUUCAUAGCCAUUCUGGCCAAUAUAAUUUCUUUCAUACCUAAAAUUAUUUUAGUUUAUAAUCCCAUUUGAAUUACAUCUUCACUCUUCUGUAUCAUCCUCCUGUUGUAACAUUUUGUUUUUCUUGUUUAAAGCAAAUCUCUGUCAUUUAUAAUGGCUUCAUAAAAUUGUGCAACAGCGGAACCAUAGAAUAUUUGAGGUCUACAUAGUCAUGUGUAUAUCUCUCUAUAAUUUCUUAGCCUGAUUGCUUAGCAUUUCAUGCAAGAGGAAGCAGUAGUUAGAAAAAGCUCUGUUUCUUAAGAAUUGUCUUCUUACCAAGAGAAUUGGCUUGGAAUAUUAUUCAGUGCACAAAUUAUACUAUUACUUUCUUGUGUAUUAAUCUGUUUAGUAUUAAAGCUACUAGGGUGCCUUAACUAUUAACCUGUUUUGCCAUAUCACUUUCAAAUGGGUUAUCUCAGAUAAUUAUUAAGAUGUUGAUGUUAAUCCUAUAUUAAGUGAACAACUAUGAAAAUGACCUUAAAGCAUUAUUGUUCUCAUCUAAAUGCCAAAAACACAAUUGUACAGGGAACACAAUUACUUCUUAUCUGACAUUAUCCUGUAGGAUGUAGCUACAUUUAUUUCUUUUAAUCAGAGCAGUUUUAAAUUACUCUUUGUUUGGAAUUUUUUCUUUUGCUUUUUGAGACAGGGUCUUGUUAUGUAGUUAGACUGAUCUUGAACUUAUUAUGUAGACCAGGAUGGUCUCAAAUUUUCAGUGAUCCUCCUGCCUCAGUCUCUCAAAUGCUGGGAUUACAGACAUGUGCCACCACACCCAAAUUUGCAAUUAUUUUUUUAAACAGAAUUUUGUUUAGCAUAGUGUUUUGCAAUACUCAUGAACCACUGCAACUUGAUGCUGACAGAUAUGUUUAUUUCUUCAUUAUUACUCAUUAGCUUUUUUGCAAACCCACUAAAUAGAAUAAUAUUGAAAAAAAUCAACAUAUAGGAACAGUUAUUAGGUUCUACAUACUUAUUUAGGUAAGCCAAUGUGUUAAAAUUAAAAACAUGUGCCUGGCAUAUAAAUGCUUCUUUAGGAUUUUUUUUGGAUGCACACUUAUUAUUUUUUAAAUCAACUCAGAUUUUCAAAUACCAAAUUUUCACUCAGAACAGGCAUUGCAUUGUUUUAAACAGUAGCUCCUGGAACAAUAUCAUCUUUAGUAUUUUAAACAUUCAAACAAUUGGGAUUGGAUAAAUGCUUUCAGCUGAGAUCACUUUCCUAAUACCUUUGUAGGUAAUAGAUUUCUCUAUUUGUGCUGGGUGACAAAUAGUACACUGGACAGACUGCCAGCCUUUUGCAGAAUAUACAAGAAAAUGGAGUUUUUUUUCCCUAUGAAACUUCUUGCAAUUCAUCUACAAAUUCCUGUGAAAUCAGAAAAAUUGUGCUUUUCUAACUUGAGUCACGAAGUGGUGGCUUAAAGAGAUGUAUAAAAGAUAAUUCAGGAGGAAUAUAGAAACACAAAUCUGAAAGAGAAAAUUUGCUCAAGCAGGAUCUGACUAUUUAUGAAUAGAAGAGUGAGAAAUUGGAUCCACAUAACCGAAUAGAUUAUUUUCUUUAAUUCAAUGACUUUAAAAAAUGUUUUUCUAUGGAUAAAGAAACCCAACCAGGAAAAUACAUGCAAAUUUGUUUAUAUGGGAAAAUACUAGCUUAUUGUGAUUUUCAAUAUUACUUUAAAAUGUCUUUGGUGCCAUGGUUCUUUCUAAAUAAAUGAAUGAUUCAACGA